CCUGACUGCUAUCGGAUUGAUACUAAGCCAUGCGAGUCUUUGUAGUAAUACAAGGCAGACGGCUCAGUAACACGUAGUCAACCUACCCUAUGGACGAGAAUAAUCUCGGGAAACUGAGCAUAAUUCUCGAUAGAUCAUAAUGCCUGGAAUGGUUUAUGGUUAAAAUGAUUCGUCGCCAUAGGAUGGGACUGCGGCCUAUCAGCUUGUUGGUGAGGUAAUGGCCCACCAAGGCGAUUACAGGUACGGGCUCUGAGAGGAGAAGCCCGGAGAUGGGUACUGAGACACGGACCCAGGCCCUAUGGGGCGCAGCAGGCGAGAAAACUUUGCAAUGUGCAAAAGCACGACAAGGUUAAUCCGAGUGAUUUCUGCUAAAGAAAUCUUUUGCCAGUCAUAAAACCACUGGUGAAUAAGGGGUGGGCAAGUUCUGGUGUCAGCCGCCGCGGUAAAACCAGCACCUCAAGUGGUCAGGAUGAUUAUUGGGCCUAAAGCAUCCGUAGCCGGCUUUGUUAGUUUUCGGUUAAAUCCAUGUGCUCAACACAUGGGCUGCCGAAAAUACUGCAUGGCUAGGGAGUGGGAGAGGUAGACGGUACUCAGUAGGAAGGGGUAAAAUCCUUUGAUCUAUUGAUGACCACCUGUGGCGAAGGCGGUCUACCAGAACACGUUCGACGGUGAGGGAUGAAAGCUGGGGGAGCAAACCGGAUUAGAUACCCGGGUAGUCCCAGCUGUAAACGAUGCAGACUCGAUGAUGCAUUGGCAUAAUAGCCAAUGCAGUGUCGCAGGGAAGCCGUUAAGUCUGCCGCCUGGGAAGUACGUACGCAAGUAUGAAACUUAAAGGAAUUGGCGGGGGAGCACCACCAAGGGGUGAAGCCUGCGGUUC
This 877-nucleotide ribosomal RNA is filed under the name uncultured archaeon. RNAcentral's name for it is "bacterial SSU rRNA". It matches the Rfam family "Archaeal small subunit ribosomal RNA", at positions 21 to 903 of the family's 1478-position model. The record is from RNAcentral.